UAGGCUGCAACUCGCCUACAUGAAGUCGGAGUUGCUAGUAAUCGCGGAUCAGAAUGCCGCGGUGAAUGCGUUCCCGGUCUUGUACACACCGCCCGUCACACCAUGGAAGUUGGGGGCGCCCGAAGUUGCCUAAGAAAUAAGGUACCUAAGGCGAAACCAAUGACUGGGGUGAAGUCGUAACAAGGUAAC
This 189-nucleotide ribosomal RNA is filed under the name uncultured bacterium. RNAcentral describes it as "partial 16S ribosomal RNA". It matches the Rfam family "Bacterial small subunit ribosomal RNA", at positions 1301 to 1500 of the family's 1533-position model. The record is from RNAcentral.